RNAcentral lists this long non-coding RNA (1213 nucleotides) under Danio rerio (zebrafish). Its description in RNAcentral is "si:dkey-199c16.2 (ENSDARG00000096679.2)". Lineage: Eukaryota; Metazoa; Chordata; Actinopteri; Cypriniformes; Danionidae. The record is from RNAcentral.
CAGUAAAGUUAGUUUAAAUUAUAUAAAACGCGUCCAAUGUUUUGACAUUUUUACAUGCUAUCGCGACACAAAACUUUAUUGAUGUAGACGUCAUUGUUUAAAAUUAAGUAGUUUCGAAUAACAUCCCGCGCGCACACACACACACACACUAUCAACACGUGCUGAGGUAAAACAGCUGCUUGUAUCGGUAAACACGCGUGAAUGACAGAAAAUCGAUUAAACAUCUGACCAUUUCACACCUACUUGACACUGUGGUUAUCUAGUUAAAGUACAAUGCAAGAAAACAUUUUGUUAUGCAUGGCACUGUAUAAGCUCCCCAUCUGCAGCGAGACAUCUUUAAAGAUGUGUGCAGUACCUCUGUUUGUGCAUUAAUGCUUGAAGAACUUUAUCCCUGUCCCCUGGCUGAAUCUCCUUUUUGCUAACCAGGGUAUCCACAAUCUUCUCAAUAAUACUGGAGAGCGUCUUCUCCUCUCUGUCCAGCAUCAUCACACCUUAUCCAAGACAAAAAUGAAAAAAAGGAAGUGAAUGCAAAGGAGAGAGGAAGACAAAGGAGAGGACGAGGGGUUUAACCGAAGCUGAGCUUUACUAUAGUAAACAUAAACAGCAGGACUCAAUGAGGAGCACGGGCUGAGCUGGUUUUACAGGACUUUAACUAUCUGCUGUGACCAUCUCAUCUGAGCCUCAGCACUGAGUACAUUGGAAGCAUCUGGGCUGAAACGUGUCCUCACCGGUGUUCAUUGUCCUGCGUAUCUGCACAAGGCUCUUAAAGGUGAGGUAGGAGAUGUGAGAAGGGCUCCAUCGACCCGCCUCCACAUCAUAUGUCUCUUCAUAACCUGCCCAUCUGCCCAUCUCCUGCCAGUAGCUCUGCUGGUUCGGGCUCUUCGCAGACUCAUUCAUCUCCAUGUAAGCCUGGCCACACAAAACACCAGAAUGCCACAAUAAAAAAAAUAUCUCACUGCUAACAUCAAAGGGUUAGUUAACCCAAAUUUUUAAAUUAUGUUAUUAAUUACUUACCCUCAUGUCAUUUUAAUACCAUGAAACCUGCAUUCAUCUUUUGAUCAUAAGUAAAGAUAUUUAAGAUGAAGUAUAGGAGCUCUCAUUAUUUUUAAAAUAUGCUCCAAGUGAUGUUUAGCUACGAAAUUUUUACAUUAUUUUCUGCAAUAUUUUUUAAUUCAUAAUAUUAGCUCUGAUACAAUUUUAUUUUUUAAUUGUC